AGACCAGUCCUGCCAAUACCUUGAUGAUGAUUCAGGUUACUAAGUUCACAUGUGGUGGGUUCCUCAUUGUUCUAAGGUUCAACCACGCAUCCGCUGAUGGCUUAGGAUCGGCACAAGUCAUUUCUGCCAUUGGUGACCUUAUAUUCUGAAGAUUGAAAAGGGCUACUACUAUGGCAAUUCUGAAGAUACACAGUGGUAGGUGUUUUGUCCUAGUCUCAAGCCGUCAAUCCAUUUUGAUCAAUAUAUCUAGUAGAAGUACGCAUACAGAACGUUGUCUUCGAGGCCAGCUAGCUAUUUUGUGCUUUUUUUUUGUUUUAAAUUU
Molecule: long non-coding RNA, 322 nt
Organism: Zingiber officinale
Lineage: Eukaryota; Viridiplantae; Streptophyta; Magnoliopsida; Zingiberales; Zingiberaceae
Exons: 3
Source: RefSeq, a predicted model, not a curated record